GACGAACGCUGGCGGCGUGCCUAAUACAUGCAAGUCGAGCGGACUUUCAAGAAGCUUGCUUUUUGAAAGUUAGCGGCGGACGGGUGAGUAACACGUGGGCAACCUGCCUGCAAGACGGGGAUAACUUCGGGAAACCGGGGCUAAUACCGGAUAAUAUCUUCCUUCGCAUGAAGGAAGGUUGAAAGACGGCGCAAGCUGCCGCUAGCAGAUGGGCCCGCGGCGCAUUAGCUAGUUGGUGAGGUAACGGCUCACCAAGGCGACGAUGCGUAGCCGACCUGAGAGGGUGAUCGGCCACACUGGGACUGAGACACGGCCCAGACUCCUACGGGAGGCAGCAGUAGGGAAUCUUCCGCAAUAGACGAAAGUCUGACGGAGCAACGCCGCGUGAGCGAAGAAGGUCUUCGGAUCGUAAAGCUCUGUUGUCAGGGAAGAACAAGUACCGUUCGAACAGGGCGGUACCUUGACGGUACCUGACCAGAAAGCCACGGCUAACUACGUG
Molecule: ribosomal RNA, 499 nt
Filed under: uncultured bacterium
Lineage: Bacteria
Description: partial 16S ribosomal RNA
Rfam family: Bacterial small subunit ribosomal RNA
Source: RNAcentral